AGUGGUAGAGCACUAGCCUAGAACAAAAAAGUUCAGGGACACUGCCCAGGCCCUGAGUUCAAGCUCUACAAACAAAAUGCGCUAUUGGAUUGGAAGUGUGACUGAUGAAAAGGGCAGAUGAUGAUAAAGCUAGAAAUAAAUAAGCAACAGCCAAGAAGAAGCCAGUUACUCAGCUUUACUGAUCUUACUAGCAGUUGUAUUGUGAGCAGAGGCAGGAAAUACUUCUGUGAAUGUUAGCUGUUUCCUCAGUGUAAGACAUACUCACUGGCCCCUGCCUAGUAAACAAACUUUAGGGCUCUCCCAAGUUUCAAGCAUUUGUUUCUACCUUUCCUAACCUCAAUCAGUCUCCUGCCACUACAGUGUUCACAUUUUGAACCUACUACAAAAAUAGCAUUUAUCGUGUCAUACUUAUAGUACAUCAUAUUUUUAUGUCGGUUUCUCCCACACAGAAGUAAGGAACCUUUUUUCUGCCAGCAGCCAUCUGGGUAUUUAUAACAGCAUUAUAGUCCCUAAGAAAUUAUCAAUACAGGUAAACAGACCUCAGGCAAGUGACGAAAAGCAUUGUAUGUCUGUCUUAGGUUGUCUUAUAUGUCCAGAUGGUCAGUAUUUUUUAUGAUAGCAUCUAUUUAACACUAAAUGUACUAUUAGUAAUGGGUAUUCAGAAAAUGCUUGAUAAAUGACAAUAACUAUUUUAAGAAAUUCUGGGGCUGGGGAUAUGGCCUAGUGGCAAGAGAGCUUGCCUCGUAUAC
Long non-coding RNA from Perognathus longimembris pacificus (Pacific pocket mouse), 749 nucleotides. RefSeq lists it as uncharacterized. NCBI's taxonomy places the organism in Eukaryota, Metazoa, Chordata, Mammalia, Rodentia, Heteromyidae. The transcript is spliced from 3 exons. The record is from RefSeq and is a predicted model, not a curated record.